RNAcentral lists this ribosomal RNA (402 nucleotides) under uncultured bacterium. RNAcentral's name for it is "bacterial SSU rRNA". It matches the Rfam family "Bacterial small subunit ribosomal RNA", at positions 355 to 774 of the family's 1533-position model. The record is from RNAcentral.
UGGGGAAUAUUGGACAAUGGGCGCAAGCCUGAUCCAGCCAUGCCGCGUGAGUGAUGAAGGCCUUAGGGUUGUAAAGCUCUUUCGGCGGGGAAGAUAAUGACGGUACCCGCAGAAGAAGCCCCGGCUAACUUCGUGCCAGCAGCGGCGGUAAUACGAAGGGGGCUAGCGUUGCUCGGAAUCACUGGGCGUAAAGCGCACGUAGGCGGCUUACUAAGUCAGGGGUGAAAUCCUGGAGCUCAACUCCAGAACUGCCUUUGAUACUGGUGAGCUUGAGUUCGGGAGAGGUGAGUGGAACUGCGGGUGUAGAGGUGAAAUUCGUAGAUAUUCGCAAGAACACCAGUGGCGAAGGCGGCGCACUGGCCCGAUACUGACGCUGAGGUGCGAAAGCGUGGGGAGCAAACA